UGACUCUUGGUUGUGGGGCUCAUUCCUGCACCAACCACCAUGGCAUGAAGACCUUUUUUUAGUCAUUUCAUUUUUGUUCCUGAAUUUUCUGUUUCGUGGGGGGGGGGUUACCGGUAUAGUUACGCCCCAUGAAUCGUCUUGUUGUUGGUUGCAACUCGUCUUUGGAUUUUCUGGCUUUUCUUUAUGAUGCUUUGCCAACCUCUGACUAGUUCCAUGCUCGAAAUUUGAUCCGGGAUCGAUGUUGAGUCGUCACACAGAACAUCUUUUUAUUAUAAGGGGCAAGCCAUGAAGGCUUACAAAAGCCUUGAUGCCUACAAAAAUUUAAUAUUGGGGAAAGUCAACAAUAAUCUUGUGUGGAAUCAGCCAAUGAAGCGAGGUUGGACAACAACCGUUUCUGUGAUUUUUUUCAAAGAUACACUAUGCAGAGACUCAGUGAUCCUCCUGUGUGUGUAUGGGUGGCUAUCCAAGAGGAUGGAGUUGUUAUUACUGAGUGCAACAUAAUUGAAGAGCUACACCCAUCAGCAAGCCAUGUAUCUCUACCGAGCAGGCCGAAUUACCGCAUCGAAGUUCAAAUCUGUAGUGUGCACAGACCCUGCCAUGUCAUCCACAUACCUGAUUAGAUCAAUCUGCUAUCCAGCUGAAUACAACUUCACAACAGAUGCAGUUGAAAGCUACUCAAAGAGUCAGUCAUCAAGCCAAGAUGGUCUCCACAUUAAAGUUGCUGGCUGGAUUGAAUAACAGCUGGACUGCUGUGUAAGAGCAUGCAAAAGUGUGCGUCCGCGCGCAACUAAAUAACAAUGAAUUUCUUUGUUUUGCUUUUGAAUCAUUCCGUUGUAUCCGAUUAACGGAUAA
RNAcentral lists this long non-coding RNA (852 nucleotides) under Acanthaster planci (crown-of-thorns starfish). RNAcentral's name for it is "uncharacterized LOC110975733, transcript variant X1". The record is from RNAcentral. Lineage: Eukaryota; Metazoa; Echinodermata; Asteroidea; Valvatida; Acanthasteridae.